RNAcentral lists this ribosomal RNA (1179 nucleotides) under Triticum aestivum (bread wheat). Its description in RNAcentral is "partial small subunit ribosomal RNA". The record is from RNAcentral. Lineage: Eukaryota; Viridiplantae; Streptophyta; Magnoliopsida; Poales; Poaceae.
AUGCAAGACGAGGCGCGGCCGCCGCCGGCGUGUGUAUCCAAGGUGCUCGACGACGACAAUCUUCUGACGGAGAUCAUCGUCCGCGUUGGCUUCCCCACCAGCCUCGUCCACGCCGCCUGCGUCUGCCGGCGCUGGCUCAGCCACGCCUCCGACCGUGCAUUCCUCCGCCGUUUCCGCGAGCUCCACCCGCCAAGACUCCUCGGCUUCUAUCUUGCACAAAGCUAUCCGUACAACGCCGCACGUUUCUUCCCGAUGCUGCCUCAGCCCCCGGAGCUCGCUGCGGUCAUCCGCCGCACAAACUUCUCCAAAAAAGAAGGAGGUACCAUGGUGGGCUGCUCGAACGGCAGCGUCCUCACCCGCCGCAUAAACUUCAGCGUCCUCAGCCUCACCAACAGCGUCCUCGCCUACGAGCUUGUAUUUGCAGUGCACAGCCCACUGUGCUAUGACAAUGACCAUGGUAUGGCCAUCCUCCCAGGAUUACAGUUCACAAUGCCCUGUUUGCACAAUUGGGCACAACUCUUCUCCAAAGAAGAAGGGGAUGGCUCGUCCUACUUUUAUGUCACCGUGGAGGAUACCAUGCACUACCGGAUGAACGUGUAUAUGUUGCAAACUGGUGAUGAUGCCUGGCACAAACAUCUCACCUUGGGGUCAGACCGCCUCCUGCAUCCACAAUCUAGGCCGAAAGGCGUACUUGUUGACAACAAAAUCUAUUUCGCGACCGACAAUGCAAUUGUUGUCCUAGAUUUGACAUCCUCAAUCUUAUCGACAAUUCAGCUCCCACACGGGGUGGGUUUUGACCUAGGCACCACCAUGUUGUCGCGGGUCGAUGAUGGUUCUGGUGUAUAUCUCAUCCAUAUCAAGGAGCUUCAACUUCAUAUCUGGCUCCACAAUGGGGACAAUUGGUUGCUGGUGGACACCAUUUGCUUGAGCGAAACAUGUGCUGGUUUGCUUGAGGAUGAGCCUACUGCUGAUAUCCAGAUAAACCAUGUGGGGGACUAUAAUGGGUUUGUAUUCUUGGAGAUGGGUCGAUCCGCACUCUACUUGGAUGUCAGGCGCAGGAGGCUGUGUAAAGUGUACGAGAUGACAACAGAGGAGAAAUGUUUGGGAAAUAUCUAUCCUUUAAUGAUGACCUGGCCUCCCAUUUUCCCUACUCUCCGUCCUGCAAGGUUUGCCUUUUAA